AUGGCUGGAUGUGGCACUUGGUGCUCUGGGUGACAAGGGGGUGAUGGGUCCAAGGCUGCACUUGAUGGUCUCACAGGUCUUUUCCAGCCUUAAAGAUCCUGUGAUUCUGCAAAAUCCUGGUUUAAUUGUUGGCUCUAAAAUCUGGUUUCUGUUCCCCUCUUGCCUUGCCUUGCUGAGCAGCUGGAUGGAGCAGCUGCUGAGUUUUUAACAAAACAGUACAUUGGGAUGCUCUGCAGUGCUCCAAUUUAGUAAUCUUGAGUAUUUUGCUAUCCAGUGAGGGAAGGGGAGAAUUCCUGUGAAGAAAAGAGAUCGCAGAGAAAGUGUCAUAGCCAGAGCAGGGUGAGGAGAGAGUUCCAUUAACUUGUGUGAGCCGGAGGCUGUGGCAGCGCGGAUAUCCCAGAGAGGAGAGCCAGGACCUGGAGGGACCUCAAACCUGAUUUAACAAACUGCUCAUUCUAGUUGCGAAUUUAAAUUCUCAAGGACUAGGAAGAAAAGCUCAGGAAAUGGGGAAACAAACCUUCCCUUUGUCAGCUGCCAGUUUAACCCGGCAGCCGGGGCCGGUGCCCCGGGGGGAGCGGGAGCUCGGCUGAUGCUCUGCCAGGGUGGAACCGGGAUCCCGGGGCUCCGGGGAGCGCACGGAGCUGCCGUGACCUGCAUUUGAACCGUGAUGCUUCAUUCCCGGGAAAUCUGCGCCCUCCCUCCGGAGCUGGUGGCAGUUCAGCCGAAGUUGAAGGACACCAAAGCCUUCAGUCCUGUUUCCAGGCCAUUGGCCGGUGAAAAAUCCUCCCUUUCCCGGUGAUCCGGGCUCUCGCAGGCGCUGCUCCCGAAUUGCUCAGCAGCACAACCAGCAGGGAGCCUGGGAGGUCACUGCAGUCACCACCACCUGUUGGCUCUGCCAGGCUGCCACAAGCCCUUGCUAAAGCUCCUGUGACCCUUCUUCCUAAUCCAUUGUACAGCCUGCCUUGGCUCCUCCUGGUCCUCCCAGAGGUGGAGUCACCUCCACUGUGGAUGCUCUGUGCCUGGCAGAGCCUUGGCAGCUGGGUGCUGACUCUGUCCUUCCCCCCAUGCCUGGUUCUGGAAUGCCCUGUGGAGUGUCAGCUCCACGUAAGGCAUGUGGAGCCAAGGGCCUCUUUCCCCAAACGGCCUCUUUCCCGUGCAUGGCUUUGUUUCUUGUUUCCAUCUGGAGCCUGAAGAGCAAAAUCCCCAUCGUGGGCGAGCCAGAGCUGGGAUCUGCUUCCACCUGAGGUGUGCUGAGCUUCUCCAUGGUGACAAACCCGUCAAUUUCCCUGAAUUUUCCAUGUAUCAAAUAAAGCCUUGACUUGGAGAGGCA
This 1330-nucleotide long non-coding RNA is filed under the name Cyanistes caeruleus (blue tit). Its description in RNAcentral is "lncRNA (ENSCCEG00000022078.1)". Lineage: Eukaryota; Metazoa; Chordata; Aves; Passeriformes; Paridae. The record is from RNAcentral.